GACGAACGCUGGCGGCGUGCCUAACACAUGCAAGUAGAACGCUGAAGAGAGGAGCUUGCUCUUCUUGGAAGAGUUGCGAACGGGUGAGUAACGCGUAGGUAACCUGCCUUGUAGCGGGGGAUAACUAUUGGAAACGAUAGCUAAUACCGCAUAACAAUGGGUGACCCAUGUCAUUCAUUUGAAAGGGGCAACUGCUCCACUACAAGAUGGACCUGCGUUGUAUUAGCUAGUAGGUGAGGUAACGGCUCACCUAGGCGACGAUACAUAGCCGACCUGAGAGGGUGAUCGGCCACACUGGGACUGAGACACGGCCCAGACUCCUACGGGAGGCAGCAGUAGGGAAUCUUCGGCAAUGGGGGCAACCCUGACCGAGCAACGCCGCGUGAGUGAAGAAGGUUUUCGGAUCGUAAAGCUCUGUUGUAAGUCAAGAACGAGUGUGAGAGUGGAAAGUUCACACUGUGACGGUAGCUUACCAGAAAGGGACGGCUAACUACGUGCCAGCAGCCGCGGUAAUACGUAGGUCCCGAGCGUUGUCCGGAUUUAUUGGGCGUAAAGCGAGCGCAGGCGGUUUGAUAAGUCUGAAGUUAAAGGCUGUGGCUCAACCAUAGUUCGCUUUGGAAACUGUCAAACUUGAGUGCAGAAGGGGAGAGUGGAAUUCCAUGUGUAGCGGUGAAAUGCGUAAAUAUAUGGAGGAACACCGGUGGCGAAAGCGGCUCUCUGGUCUGUAACUGACGCUGAGGCUCGAAAGCGUGGGGAGCGAACAGG
RNAcentral lists this ribosomal RNA (765 nucleotides) under uncultured Streptococcus sp. RNAcentral's name for it is "bacterial SSU rRNA". It matches the Rfam family "Bacterial small subunit ribosomal RNA", at positions 28 to 776 of the family's 1533-position model. Lineage: Bacteria; Bacillati; Bacillota; Bacilli; Lactobacillales; Streptococcaceae. The record is from RNAcentral.